Molecule: ribosomal RNA, 274 nt
Filed under: uncultured bacterium
Lineage: Bacteria
Description: partial 16S ribosomal RNA
Rfam family: Bacterial small subunit ribosomal RNA
Source: RNAcentral
AUACGGAGGGUGCAAGCGUUGUUCGGAAUUACUGGGCGUAAAGCGCUCGUAGGCGGUUGGGUAAGUCGAAUGUGAAAGCCCAGGGCUCAACCCUGGAACUGCAUCCGAAACUGCUCAGCUAGAGUCCCGGAGAGGAAGGCAGAAUUCCCAGUGUAGGGGUGAAAUCCGUAGAUAUUGGGAGGAAUACCAGUGGCGAAGGCGGCCUUCUGGACGGUGACUGACGCUGAGGAGCGAAAGCGUGGGGAGCAAACAGGAUUAGAAACCCCGGUAGUCC